RNAcentral lists this ribosomal RNA (572 nucleotides) under Volucella inflata. RNAcentral describes it as "eukaryotic LSU rRNA". It matches the Rfam family "Eukaryotic large subunit ribosomal RNA", at positions 385 to 791 of the family's 3401-position model. Lineage: Eukaryota; Metazoa; Arthropoda; Insecta; Diptera; Syrphidae. The record is from RNAcentral.
GAGUUCAAGAGUACGUGAAACUGCUUAGAGGUUAAGCCCGAUGAACCUGAAUAUCCGUUAUGGAAAAUUCAUCACUAAUGAUGUUAUAUUUUUUUAAAAUAUAAUAAAAAUGGUGUGCAAUUUUUCCAUAUAAGGACAUUGUAAUCUGUUAAUGUAUUAAAUAUUUAUCAUAAGAUCUUUUACUUAAGUUUAUCCAAAUUAGUUAUUUUCGGAUUUCUAACAUAAGAUAAAUGUAUUAGAUUUGAUAAAUCAUUGACAGAUUAAAUAAUAUAUAGUGCUUAAAUUUGAAGGAAUUUUACAAUGGUAAUUAAAUCUUUUGAUUUUUUUAUUUUAUUGUAUGCACUUAUAUGAUUAACAAUGCGAUAGAUUCAGGAUACCUUCGGGACCCGUCUUGAAACACGGACCAAGGAGUCUAACAUAUGUGCAAGUCAUUGGGUAUUAAAACCCAAAGGCAUAAUUAACUUAACUGUUUUAAUGGGAUUAGUUUAUGUUUUAUUAUGAAAUAUAAAUUCAAUCCCGGGCGUUCUAUACAGUAUGAUAAUAAUAUUAUAUAUUAUGCCUCUAACUAGAGC